Molecule: long non-coding RNA, 3264 nt
Filed under: Canis lupus familiaris (dog)
Lineage: Eukaryota; Metazoa; Chordata; Mammalia; Carnivora; Canidae
Description: lncRNA (ENSCAFG00845012670.1)
Source: RNAcentral
UUUCUCUCUCUCUUUUCUUUCUUCUUUCUUUCUUUCUUUCUUUCUUUCUUUCUUUCUUUCUUUCUUCUCUUUCUUUUUCUUUCUUUCAUUUAUUUGUUUCUGCUUUUCCUCUAGGUCUUCCCCUGGCUCAUGUUCCCAAAGUGCUCCUAACCAACUUCCGUUUUGGCGCUGCCCCAUUGCAGUUGAUUUUUGGUCAGAUAAACUCUUAGAACAUUAAAAAAAAAUUAUUGAGUCAGUUCAUGUUCCAGAAAGCAUUCUAAAAACAGGGGAUACAUUUGGUGGUGUAUGUGUGGGAGGGGAGACUCAAUCUUUACGAGCUUUUAUUCUAUUGAAGAAGACACAAAGUUAACAUACGAAUAUAUGAUAUAACGCCAGCUAGUUGUUAGGUACUCUGAAGAAAGAAGGAAAGUAAGGAGAUAGAGAAAAAUGGGAUUGGAGGUGGGAUGGAUAUUUUAGAUGGAGUGAUUAGAAAGAGCAUCUCUAAUUGUCAUCUGAAUAGAAAGUACAAUAAAGAUACCAGAAAAGCAGUUAAAUCACAAAGAUAUUAGCUAACCUGAAAGAAUUAGUCAAUUAACACCUGAUAUGACUUUUUAAAUUAUUUAACCAUUCUAUAACCCAGGAUUCCAGUGGCUUAUUUCUUUUAUUAUCCUGGGGCUUCUUAUCCACUCAUAUUUAACUAUUAUAAAUUAUGAUAAGAAAAUGAUGUGCAAAUUUCUGUCUGGUGUCCUGGUCACCCUUCCAAACUUCAAACUUUCGUAUUCAAUGGCCUGAUAGCUAGCUCAACAGGAAUGUUCCAGAGAUACCCGUUACACAUACUGUUGAAGCUAAAAUAGAUUAUUUCCAGGAUCUUUCUCAUAUUUCUCUAUGAACUCAGUAGCCAAAUUAGAAAUCUGCAGUCAUCCUUCACUGCUUUUUUUUUCAUGGAGUCAUAAUCUUUAUUUUGUCUCUUAAAUGUAAAAAGCAACCACUACUCUUACUACACUAAACCUUUAUAAUCUCUUAACUUGAACUUUUGCAGCAGUUUCCAGAAUGGUUUUCUAGGCUUCAAUCAAGCAUCCUCAAGUACUGCCCUCAUUGAAGACAAUUAUUCAUAUAAUUUUUUUGUUCCCCUUCUUAAAACCAUUCAAUGGAUUCCUAUUGCCUAAAGGAUGAAGUGAAAGCUCCUUAUAUGGCAUUACUUACAUAAUCAAGCCUGAAUUUAAGCAUGCUCUUGUGACUAAGUCUAAUGGAUAUUUAGUAUUUCAGAAUUCACCUGAAACUCUCAAGAAGAGCUUUUAGUGAAAGCUACCAUGCCUUAAAACUUUCUUUUUGGAUUUUGUGAUGCCGUAUUUAACAGACACUUGUAGGCACUAUAUACUCAGAUUCCCUACAGUGGCUUUUAUCAUUUUUGUGCACCAUCCCUUCCUUCCUGUUAUCCUUGCUUCUAACUUCUGCACCUGCUUAUAUGAUAAGGCCUGUCCGCAGGCAACUGCAGCCUCUUUGCAGGGAACAGGAGUACCUAAGAUCAAUAAUUUCGAGGAGAAGAUUUUGGCAAAUACCGUAUGGGAGUAUAAAAGUCCAGCUCUUUUCAGUGAAUAGGGAAGAAUUCUGAGGAUCAGGUGGUCAUCCUUCAGCUCUUACCUAAGGAGUCAGGCUAUGGCUGAGACUUGGCUUGAAAUCGCAUACAUACUUGGCUUUUUUCUUAUUCCCUCACUUCUCCAGGAGCAUUUUUCUAAUAAAUCACUAAAAUGUGAAUUGUUAUGGCUUGGUCUGCUUCUGAAGACAUGACGGGAGACACCCCCCUCUCCUAAUUUCCCCCAUGCCUUCUGGUUCCUCUUCAUCACUCUCUAUUGGCAGCUUUUCCUUCUCCAUCCAAUGUAUAAAUGCUUGAGUUCCUCAGCACUCAGUCUCAGAUGCUUUUCUCAUUGCAUCUGUACCUCAUCUGGAGGCCAUUUCAUCUAUCCUCAUGGCUAAUAUUACAAUCAGUUUUUUUCCCCAGUCACCUAGACUUUCUUUAGAUAAAUAUUUUAACACUGUCCUCAACAUUCCCAUUUGGUUGUUUCACAAGUAAUUCAAACACAACACAUCUCAGAAUGAAAGCAUAAUCUAACUCAACUCCUAUUCCAUACAUCAGGUGACUGAUUACAUUGUCAAAGGAAAUCAACCAGAGAAUUGUUAGCAUAAGGAUCUAUUAAAAAGUAAUCGAUAUGAGAAGGCUCCAAAGGAAUAUUCAAACUUGAGGGAGCAGGGUAGAAAGUUUUACUGGGCUACCUUCAGGAACAAAUACACUUUUCAUAUGGUUUAGCAGCCACUGAGCAAUCUGGUUUGUAUCAAUAGAGAUGGAGAAGAACAGAGAGAAGAGAAUAUUAUGUGAAAGGAUAUAGGGAGGAAUAGUUGAAAGAUCAAAAAUAUGCCAAGGCCACAGUGGAAAAUUAUCAAUCCUUCAGAGUCUCUCACAUCAUCUUGCUAGGGCCACAUGACUUCCCUCCAUCGCAUUUGACUCACUCUGGAAAUAUUAUAUUUCUCCUGGGUCACUCUAACAACCUUCAAAAUGGUCUCUAUAUACUCUGACCCUUCUAUGAUCUAGCUUAUAAUGCUUUGUUAAAUAUUUAGUAAUUAUAAGAGAUUAUAAAACCUACAGAAUGUAUAAGGCUAAAAUACUAAGAUACUCUUCUAUUCAUCAGCUAGUUUGAAAAGCCCUCUAGGUGCCUUUCCAUAAUCCUAUUCAAUUUUGUUUUCACUCAGACAUGACCAGUAUUAUGACUUUCAGUUUUAACCUUUUGGUGCCUUACUGUCCUUAAAACUUCAUUUAUUUAUGCAUUUCUACCAUAUAUUUUUGUUGUUUCCUGUAUUUCAAGUGUUUACUUAUAAAAUAAUACAUAAAAUAAGCAUUCUUCCAUGAAUUGCCUUUUUCACUCAAAAUUAUAUUCCUGAUGUUCAUGUAUGAAAUGCAAAACUGUUGUUUUAAAAUUUUCACUGCUGUGUAAUAUUCCACUGUAUAUGAAUAUAAUACAACUUAUUUAUCCAGUCUAAUGUUGGCAGAUUUGGGGAGUAUUAUCCCUUUAUACAAAUUAAUUAGUUAACAUCUACAAAAAUUAUUUUAAUGAAUAUUUCUAUAUAGGUCUUUUGAUGUAUACACACAAGUGUUUCUUCAUAUACUUAAGAGUAGAAAUAUGAGGCCUUUGGGGAUGAAAAUCUUUGGCUUUACUAGAGAGUGUCAAAUAAUUUUACAAAACAUUUGUACCAAUUUCAUAUUCAUAAUCUUACCACUAGUCUAUGAGAAAU